RNAcentral lists this small nuclear RNA (294 nucleotides) under Salvator merianae (Argentine black and white tegu). Its description in RNAcentral is "7SK RNA (ENSSMRG00000001495.1)". It matches the Rfam family "7SK RNA". Rfam says of the family: 7SK was discovered as an abundant small nuclear RNA in the mid-70s but a possible function has only recently been suggested. The record is from Rfam by way of RNAcentral. Lineage: Eukaryota; Metazoa; Chordata; Lepidosauria; Squamata; Teiidae.
GACUGUUAGGGUGAUCUGGCUGCAAGACUUGCUGACCCAUUGAUCACCAGGGCUGAUCUGACUUGCUAGGUAAGGUUCCCCUUCCUUCCUCAUGAUUCCAGCUGCCUCUCUCCCAAAGCUGUACACUCAGAGGAUGAUCACCCCAGAGAAAAGGAGCAUAACAUUCUUUUAUCUAGAGUAUUCCAUAGCUACAGUCCCCUGCUAGAAGCCCCAAACAAGCUCAAGGCCACAAGUGCAAAAUCAUCUGUCAUUUCAGAGCUCUCAUCUUCAGCAAUUGCACUUUUGUAUUUUUAA